RNAcentral lists this transfer RNA (76 nucleotides) under Komagataella phaffii CBS 7435. RNAcentral's name for it is "tRNA-Tyr". It matches the Rfam family "tRNA". Rfam says of the family: Transfer RNA (tRNA) molecules are approximately 80 nucleotides in length. Their secondary structure includes four short double-helical elements and three loops (D, anti-codon, and T loops). Further hydrogen bonds mediate the characteristic L-shaped molecular structure. tRNAs have two regions of fundamental functional importance: the anti-codon, which is responsible for specific mRNA codon recognition, and the 3' end, to which the tRNAs corresponding amino acid is attached (by aminoacyl-tRNA synthetases). tRNAs cope with the degeneracy of the genetic code in two manners: having more than one tRNA (with a specific anti-codon) for a particular amino acid; and 'wobble' base-pairing, i.e. permitting non-standard base-pairing at the 3rd anti-codon position. The record is from RNAcentral. Lineage: Eukaryota; Fungi; Ascomycota; Pichiomycetes; Pichiales; Pichiaceae.
CUCUCAGUGGCCAAGCUGGCUAAGGCGCGAGACUGUAAAAAUCUUGAGAUCGGGUGUUCGACUCACCCCUGGGAGA